Molecule: ribosomal RNA, 447 nt
Filed under: uncultured bacterium
Lineage: Bacteria
Description: partial 16S ribosomal RNA
Rfam family: Bacterial small subunit ribosomal RNA
Source: RNAcentral
GACGAACGCUGGCGGCAGGCUUAACACAUGCAAGUCGAACGCGCCGCAAGGGGAGUGGCAGACGGGUGAGUAACGCGUGGGAAUCUACCGUGCCCUGCGGAAUAGCUCCGGGAAACUGGAAUUAAUACCGCAUACGCCCUACGGGGGAAAGAUUUAUCGGGGUAUGAUGAGCCCGCGUUGGAUUAGCUAGUUGGUGGGGUAAAGGCCUACCAAGGCGACGAUCCAUAGCUGGUCUGAGAGGAUGAUUAGCCACAUUGGGACUGAGACACGGCCCAAACUCCUACGGGAGGCAGCAGUGGGGAAUAUUGGACAAUGGGCGCAAGCCUGAUCCAGCCAUGCCGCGUGAGUGAUGAAGGCCUUAGGGUUGUAAAGCUCUUUCACCGAUGAAGAUAAUGACGGUAGUCGGAGAAGAAGCCCCGGCUAACUUCGUGCCAGCAGCCGCCGUAA